GUCCAUCCUUGGUCUCAAGUCUAGAUCAAGAGGUAUAAGACUAAACCUUCACUUUGUUCUUUAAUAAAAUGUUUUGAUGCAUUAUAUAUAAACCUAUGAACCUUGAAGGGGAUUUGCAUGACUAUAGCUUUGAUAAUAUUUGAUAAAUUGCUUCUGUUGCUCAUGUAUAUAAAUUUUGAAUUGUAUAUGCAUGCUAGUCAUUUAGAAAUCCCAUGUGUUAAACUCAUAAUUUUCCCUUCAAGUGGUAUCAAAGCCAAAGGUUUAUGUAUAAUGUGUCCUUUUGGAUUUUAUGCAUAUGGGUAUUAAUAUUAUGCAUGACAUAAUUAUUGCUUCAUUCAAAAUAAGUUUAUCUUUUGUUUUUCAAUAGUUGAAAAAUAUUAGUCAAUAGUUGAGAAAGAUAUGUAUGCAAAAGAUGUUUUGUAUGCAUGAAUGAAAAUUGAGUUUUGAACUAAUUUGACAUAUUAUUUCUUCAUUUAAAGUAUGUUUAUCUUUUGUUUUUCAAUGGUUGAAAAAUAUAAAUCAAGAGUUGAAAAAGAUAUGCAUGUAAAAGUUGUUUUGUAUGCAUGAAUGAAGAGUAAGUCAUGAACAAAAUUUUGGGGUUUUGUUCUUUGUGGUUGGCACGGUUUUGGGGAUUUUUGGGCAUGUGUUUGUGUUUUAUUGUAAGACACUCACACAUCAUUUUAAAGCUAGAAAGUAGAAACCUUGUCACUUUAGUUUUUGGGUUUGAAAAAUCACCAAGAAUACACAAAUCUUGAAAAUAUGUUCAUGGUUUUGUUCUUGGUGUUCAUAGUUUGGUUUUGGGUGAAAAUGGUUUUAUUUGGUUUUCAUGCAUAGUUUUAUGGUUUUGGAUGAUGUUCUUACCAUCCAUAACCAUAUUAAAACUUAUAAAACCCUAGACUUGUCUAGGAGAUUUCCAUCACCUUUUUCAUUAAAGCCUUUUAAGCCAAAACCAAGUGACAUGCAAAUUUGGAUUUUUCUACCUUGCAUUGAAUUAAAGCAAGAUGGGUGAGACUUCCCAUCUCCCCUUAAUGUGGCCGGCCACCCUAGUGGAUUUAUCCACUUUGGGGGUCUUUUGUAAUUUGGAAAAAUAUAUUUUAUACUUUUGAGUAUUUACAGUUUGACCCCUAACUUUUUCUUAUUUGCAUUUAGGCCCCUACUAACUAGAAAGUUAAAAUAUUUGAUUUUAAUUUUUUUAGUUGUUUAAACUCAUAAUUCUUUAUGCCCAUAUGCACUAAAUCUAAAUGUUCAUGUUGCAUUCCAUUUUGAUUAUUUAAUGUGAUUAAGUAGUUGGAAAAGGGUGACUAUGGACUUAUGCCUUAAACGAUAAUUGAGCUAUGAGAUAAGGCGCUAAAAUCAAAUUGUUUGAACCUUGGGAAUGUGUUUUAAUUACUGUUUUUUGUUGGACCUUGUCACAUUUGACUUUAAUCUAUCUCUCCCUCUUAGUAUGUGUAAUUUGUAGGAAUUUGUACAAAUCGGUUUGUAAUUC
Molecule: long non-coding RNA, 1486 nt
Filed under: Malus domestica (apple)
Lineage: Eukaryota; Viridiplantae; Streptophyta; Magnoliopsida; Rosales; Rosaceae
Description: long non-coding RNA (MDOM_LNC019893)
Source: RNAcentral